CUCGAUUAUAUCAACAAAUAAUCUACAACACAGGAGUAUUAGCAUAGGAAUAAUCUCAUUUAAUAAUAUUUCUUAGAUAUUAGGAUAACUGCAUGGUUGUCUGAUAUGUGAUGUAAGCGACUGUUUCCUAUUUUCUGUAUUGUCACCCAGUCUCCCCAGUUGUUCCCCAGAGGCGGAUUUAGGGAGGGGGGCAGUGGGACCGGGCCCUCCCUUUUGGGGAAACAAAUUGGUUGCUUAUAUAGGGAAUCAUUGAAGCGUGACUGGAGCGGGCCCCCUCUAAGGUCAGUCAGUGGGCCCCCACUUAUGAAAAUUUCUGGAUCCGCCACUGUUCCCUUUAUUUGUUUCAUUCUCAUCCAUCCAAUUUACAAGAACCGCAGUACACAUAAUGUAUUCCUCCAGCCUCACAAAGACGGAAUACAUUAAAAAAAAUAAAUAGAACUGACAAAAAGUUAAACGACUUAUUAUGAUACAAUGAUAACACAUACUUACAAUUUUAUUUGUCAACUCGUAUUUUU
This 515-nucleotide long non-coding RNA is filed under the name Mytilus galloprovincialis (Mediterranean mussel). Lineage: Eukaryota; Metazoa; Mollusca; Bivalvia; Mytilida; Mytilidae. The record is from RNAcentral.